AACGAACGCUGGCGGCAGGCUUAACACAUGCAAGUCGAACGCAUGCCUUCGGGCAUGAGUGGCAGACGGGUGACUAACGCCUGGUAACUUACCCCUUGGUACGCGAUAUCUCCGGGAAACUGGAGAUAAUACCGUAUGUGCCCUUAGGGACUAAGAUUCUUCGCCAAGGGAUGUGCCCGCGUCGGAUUAGCUAGCUGGUGGGGUAACGGCCUACCAAGGCGACGAUCCGUAGCUGGGCUAAGAGGAUGAGCAGCAACAUUGGUACUGAGCCACGGACCAAAAUCUUACGGGAGGAAGCAGUGGGGAAUAUUGGACAAUGGGCGAAAGACUGAUCCAGCCAGGCUGCGUGAGUGAUGAAGGUCGGAGGGAUGUAAAGAUCUUUCAACGGUGAAGAUAAUGACGGUAACCGAAGAAGAAGCCCCGGCUAACUACGUG
This 435-nucleotide ribosomal RNA is filed under the name uncultured bacterium. Its description in RNAcentral is "partial 16S ribosomal RNA". It matches the Rfam family "Bacterial small subunit ribosomal RNA", at positions 29 to 507 of the family's 1533-position model. The record is from RNAcentral.